Molecule: ribosomal RNA, 305 nt
Filed under: uncultured bacterium
Lineage: Bacteria
Description: bacterial SSU rRNA
Rfam family: Bacterial small subunit ribosomal RNA
Source: RNAcentral
UCCUACGGGGGGCAGCAGUGGGGAAUAUUGCGCAAUGGGCGAAAGCCUGAUGCAGCGACGCCGCGUGGGUGAAGAAGCGCCUCGGCGCGUAAAGCCCUGUCAGCAGGGAAGAAAAUGACGGUACCUGAAGAAGAAGCCCCGGCUAACUACGUGCCAGCAGCCGCGGUAAUACGUAGGGGGCAAGCGUUAUCCGGAUUUACUGGGUGUAAAGGGGGCGCAGACGGCAAUGCAAGCCAGGAGUGAAAGCCCGGGGCCCAACCCCGGGACUGCUCUUGGAACUGCAUGGCUGGGGUACAUGAGGGGCG